AUUGAACGCUGGCGGCAGGCCUAACACAUGCAAGUCGAACGGUAACAGGAAGAAGCUUGCUUCUUUGCUGACGAGUGGCGGACGGGUGAGUAAUGUCUGGGAAACUGCCUGAUGGAGGGGGAUAACUACUGGAAACGGUAGCUAAUACCGCAUAACGUCGCAAGACCAAAAAGGGGGACCUUCGGGCCUCUUGCCAUCGGAUGUGCCCAGAUGGGAUUAGCUAGUAGGUGGGGUAACGGCUCACCUAGGCGACGAUCCCUAGCUGGUCUGAGAGGAUGACCGGCCACACUGGAACUGAGACACGGUCCAGACUCCUACGGGAGGCAGCAGUGGGGAAUAUUGCACAGUGGGCGCAAGCCUGAUGCAGCCAUGCCGCGUGUAUGAAGAAGGCCUUCGGGUUGUAAAGUACUUUCAGCGGGGAGGAAGGGAGUAAAGUUGAUACCUUUGCUCAUUGACGUUACCCGCAGAAGAAGCACCGGCUAACUCCGUG
RNAcentral lists this ribosomal RNA (490 nucleotides) under uncultured bacterium. Its description in RNAcentral is "partial 16S ribosomal RNA". It matches the Rfam family "Bacterial small subunit ribosomal RNA", at positions 30 to 507 of the family's 1533-position model. The record is from RNAcentral.